UCGCCAACGCACGGCUGACCCAAAGUGCGCGCGCCGCACUGGACGUGUCAGGGCGUUACCUGUUUGCGGUGGAUCAUCGAGGGCGCAUCAUCUGGGCGACCCCGCAGGCGGAAAAGCUCGCGCGCGCACGAGGUGCCGACGAGAAAUUCGAACUGCCGGAGCCGUGGCUCGACUGGCUCGGCCAGAUGCAUCGGGGAAUGGCUGAAUCGAAAUCGCCGCCCGCGAUUUCAUUCCGCGACGAGAAGCUGCGUCUUCAAUACAUGGGCCGGCUCGGCGCGAACGAAUUCCUGCUCCGGCUGGCGCGGGACAGCGGUUCGGAUUCCCCGGCGGAAUUCAGCAAGGAAUUGGGACUGACCAGCCGCGAGGGAGAAGUGCUGUCGUGGCUGAGCAAGGGCAAGACCAACCGCGACAUCGCGCAGAUCCUGGGCCUCAGCCCGCGCACCGUCGACAAGCAUCUUGAGCAGAUUUACGCAAAGCUCGGCGUC
This 485-nucleotide unclassified non-coding RNA is filed under the name Hevea brasiliensis (rubber tree). Lineage: Eukaryota; Viridiplantae; Streptophyta; Magnoliopsida; Malpighiales; Euphorbiaceae. The record is from RNAcentral.